Molecule: non-coding RNA, 75 nt
Organism: Podarcis lilfordi (Lilford's wall lizard)
Lineage: Eukaryota; Metazoa; Chordata; Lepidosauria; Squamata; Lacertidae
Source: the annotation of a GenBank genome assembly
GGAAAUGCCGUAGCUCAGUGGCACAGCAUCACCCUUGCAUGCAGAAGGUCCCAGGUUCAAUCCCUGCCAUCUCCA